Molecule: ribosomal RNA, 268 nt
Filed under: uncultured bacterium
Lineage: Bacteria
Description: partial 16S ribosomal RNA
Rfam family: Bacterial small subunit ribosomal RNA
Source: RNAcentral
UACGUAGGGUGCGAGCGUUAAUCGGAAUUACUGGGCGUAAAGCGUGCGCAGGCGGCGCGUUAAGACAGGUGUGAAAGCCCCGAGCUUAACUUGGGAAUUGCGCUUGUGACUGGCGUGCUGGAGUGUGGCAGAGGGAGGUGGAAUUCCACGUGUAGCAGUGAAAUGCGUAGAGAUGUGGAGGAACACCGAUGGCGAAGGCAGCCUCCUGGGCCAGCACUGACGCUCAGUGCACGAAAGCGUGGGGAGCAAACAGGAUUGAGAAACCCGA